RNAcentral lists this ribosomal RNA (302 nucleotides) under uncultured bacterium. Its description in RNAcentral is "partial 16S ribosomal RNA". It matches the Rfam family "Bacterial small subunit ribosomal RNA", at positions 508 to 807 of the family's 1533-position model. The record is from RNAcentral.
GCAGUAGCCGCGGUAAUACGAAGGGGGCGAGCGUUAUUCGGAAUCACUGGGCGUAAAGCGUGCGUAGGCGGUUCUAAAAGUUAGAAGUGAAAGCCCAGGGCUCAACCCUGGAAUUGCUUUUAAAACUAUAGGACUAGAAUUCGGGAGAGGAUAGCGGAAUUGUCAGUGUAGCAGUGAAAUGCGUAGAUAUUGACAGGAACACCAGUGGCGUAAGCGGCUAUCUGGACCGACAUUGACGCUGAGGCACGAAAGCGUGGGGAUCAAACAGGAUUAGAUACCCCUGUAGUCCCUGUCUCUUAUAC